AGAGAGGUGGCCGAGUGGUCGAAGGCGCACGCCUGGAACGCGUGUGUGGCGCAAGCCACCGAGGGUUCGAAUCCCUUCCUCUCUG
This 85-nucleotide transfer RNA is filed under the name Hydrogenimonas thermophila. It matches the Rfam family "tRNA". From Rfam's summary of the family: Transfer RNA (tRNA) molecules are approximately 80 nucleotides in length. The record is from Rfam by way of RNAcentral. Lineage: Bacteria; Pseudomonadati; Campylobacterota; Epsilonproteobacteria; Campylobacterales; Hydrogenimonadaceae. RNAcentral also lists the same sequence under 1 other name.